RNAcentral lists this ribosomal RNA (2925 nucleotides) under Escherichia coli. RNAcentral's name for it is "23S ribosomal RNA". It matches the Rfam family "Bacterial large subunit ribosomal RNA". The record is from RNAcentral. Lineage: Bacteria; Pseudomonadati; Pseudomonadota; Gammaproteobacteria; Enterobacterales; Enterobacteriaceae.
GGGUUGUGAGGUUAAGCGACUAAGCGUACACGGUGGAUGCCCUGGCAGUCAGAGGCGAUGAAGGACGUGCUAAUCUGCGAUAAGCGUCGGUAAGGUGAUAUGAACCGUUAUAACCGGCGAUUUCCGAAUGGGGAAACCCAGUGUGUUUCGACACACUAUCAUUAACUGAAUCCAUAGGUUAAUGAGGCGAACCGGGGGAACUGAAACAUCUAAGUACCCCGAGGAAAAGAAAUCAACCGAGAUUCCCCCAGUAGCGGCGAGCGAACGGGGAGCAGCCCAGAGCCUGAAUCAGUGUGUGUGUUAGUGGAAGCGUCUGGAAAGGCGCGCGAUACAGGGUGACAGCCCCGUACACAAAAAUGCACAUGCUGUGAGCUCGAUGAGUAGGGCGGGACACGUGGUAUCCUGUCUGAAUAUGGGGGGACCAUCCUCCAAGGCUAAAUACUCCUGACUGACCGAUAGUGAACCAGUACCGUGAGGGAAAGGCGAAAAGAACCCCGGCGAGGGGAGUGAAAAAGAACCUGAAACCGUGUACGUACAAGCAGUGGGAGCACGCUUAGGCGUGUGACUGCGUACCUUUUGUAUAAUGGGUCAGCGACUUAUAUUCUGUAGCAAGGUUAACCGAAUAGGGGAGCCGAAGGGAAACCGAGUCUUAACUGGGCGUUAAGUUGCAGGGUAUAGACCCGAAACCCGGUGAUCUAGCCAUGGGCAGGUUGAAGGUUGGGUAACACUAACUGGAGGACCGAACCGACUAAUGUUGAAAAAUUAGCGGAUGACUUGUGGCUGGGGGUGAAAGGCCAAUCAAACCGGGAGAUAGCUGGUUCUCCCCGAAAGCUAUUUAGGUAGCGCCUCGUGAAUUCAUCUCCGGGGGUAGAGCACUGUUUCGGCAAGGGGGUCAUCCCGACUUACCAACCCGAUGCAAACUGCGAAUACCGGAGAAUGUUAUCACGGGAGACACACGGCGGGUGCUAACGUCCGUCGUGAAGAGGGAAACAACCCAGACCGCCAGCUAAGGUCCCAAAGUCAUGGUUAAGUGGGAAACGAUGUGGGAAGGCCCAGACAGCCAGGAUGUUGGCUUAGAAGCAGCCAUCAUUUAAAGAAAGCGUAAUAGCUCACUGGUCGAGUCGGCCUGCGCGGAAGAUGUAACGGGGCUAAACCAUGCACCGAAGCUGCGGCAGCGACGCUUAUGCGUUGUUGGGUAGGGGAGCGUUCUGUAAGCCUGUGAAGGUGUGCUGUGAGGCAUGCUGGAGGUAUCAGAAGUGCGAAUGCUGACAUAAGUAACGAUAAAGCGGGUGAAAAGCCCGCUCGCCGGAAGACCAAGGGUUCCUGUCCAACGUUAAUCGGGGCAGGGUGAGUCGACCCCUAAGGCGAGGCCGAAAGGCGUAGUCGAUGGGAAACAGGUUAAUAUUCCUGUACUUGGUGUUACUGCGAAGGGGGGACGGAGAAGGCUAUGUUGGCCGGGCGACGGUUGUCCCGGUUUAAGCGUGUAGGCUGGUUUUCCAGGCAAAUCCGGAAAAUCAAGGCUGAGGCGUGAUGACGAGGCACUACGGUGCUGAAGCAACAAAUGCCCUGCUUCCAGGAAAAGCCUCUAAGCAUCAGGUAACAUCAAAUCGUACCCCAAACCGACACAGGUGGUCAGGUAGAGAAUACCAAGGCGCUUGAGAGAACUCGGGUGAAGGAACUAGGCAAAAUGGUGCCGUAACUUCGGGAGAAGGCACGCUGAUAUGUAGGUGAAGCGACUUGCUCGUGGAGCUGAAAUCAGUCGAAGAUACCAGCUGGCUGCAACUGUUUAUUAAAAACACAGCACUGUGCAAACACGAAAGUGGACGUAUACGGUGUGACGCCUGCCCGGUGCCGGAAGGUUAAUUGAUGGGGUCAGCGCAAGCGAAGCUCUUGAUCGAAGCCCCGGUAAACGGCGGCCGUAACUAUAACGGUCCUAAGGUAGCGAAAUUCCUUGUCGGGUAAGUUCCGACCUGCACGAAUGGCGUAAUGAUGGCCAGGCUGUCUCCACCCGAGACUCAGUGAAAUUGAACUCGCUGUGAAGAUGCAGUGUACCCGCGGCAAGACGGAAAGACCCCGUGAACCUUUACUAUAGCUUGACACUGAACAUUGAGCCUUGAUGUGUAGGAUAGGUGGGAGGCUUUGAAGUGUGGACGCCAGUCUGCAUGGAGCCGACCUUGAAAUACCACCCUUUAAUGUUUGAUGUUCUAACGUUGACCCGUAAUCCGGGUUGCGGACAGUGUCUGGUGGGUAGUUUGACUGGGGCGGUCUCCUCCUAAAGAGUAACGGAGGAGCACGAAGGUUGGCUAAUCCUGGUCGGACAUCAGGAGGUUAGUGCAAUGGCAUAAGCCAGCUUGACUGCGAGCGUGACGGCGCGAGCAGGUGCGAAAGCAGGUCAUAGUGAUCCGGUGGUUCUGAAUGGAAGGGCCAUCGCUCAACGGAUAAAAGGUACUCCGGGGAUAACAGGCUGAUACCGCCCAAGAGUUCAUAUCGACGGCGGUGUUUGGCACCUCGAUGUCGGCUCAUCACAUCCUGGGGCUGAAGUAGGUCCCAAGGGUAUGGCUGUUCGCCAUUUAAAGUGGUACGCGAGCUGGGUUUAGAACGUCGUGAGACAGUUCGGUCCCUAUCUGCCGUGGGCGCUGGAGAACUGAGGGGGGCUGCUCCUAGUACGAGAGGACCGGAGUGGACGCAUCACUGGUGUUCGGGUUGUCAUGCCAAUGGCACUGCCCGGUAGCUAAAUGCGGAAGAGAUAAGUGCUGAAAGCAUCUAAGCACGAAACUUGCCCCGAGAUGAGUUCUCCCUGACUCCUUGAGAGUCCUGAAGGAACGUUGAAGACGACGACGUUGAUAGGCCGGGUGUGUAAGCGCAGCGAUGCGUUGAGCUAACCGGUACUAAUGAACCGUGAGGCUUAACCUUACAACGCCGAAG